AGGAUGAACGCUGGCGGCGUGCUUAACACAUGCAAGUCAUGGGGGCCCAGCAAUGGGCAACCGGCGAACGGGUGCGUAACACGUGAGCAACCUACCCAGGUGUGGGGGAUAGCCGUCCCAACGGACGGGUAAUACCGCAUACGCUCAACACGAGGCAUUUCGAGUUGAGGAAACCUUCGGGGCACCAUGAGGGGCUCGCGGCCUAUCAGCUAGUUGGCGAGGUAACGGCUCACCAAGGCUACGACGGGUAGCUGGUCUGAGAGGAUGACCAGCCACAUUGGGACUGAGAAACGGCCCAGACUCCUACGGGAGGCAGCAGUGGGAAUCUGCGCAAUGGCCUAACGGCUGACGCAGCGACGCCGCGUGAGGAUGACGCUCUUCGGAGUGUAAACCUCUUUUUGCCUUGGAACAACGUAUCAGCUUCAGCUGAUUUGACGGUACCGGUGAAUAAGCACCGGCUAACGUCCGUGCCAGUAGCCGC
This 481-nucleotide ribosomal RNA is filed under the name uncultured soil bacterium. Its description in RNAcentral is "bacterial SSU rRNA". It matches the Rfam family "Bacterial small subunit ribosomal RNA", at positions 26 to 518 of the family's 1533-position model. The record is from RNAcentral.